This 1370-nucleotide ribosomal RNA is filed under the name uncultured bacterium. Its description in RNAcentral is "bacterial SSU rRNA". It matches the Rfam family "Bacterial small subunit ribosomal RNA". The record is from RNAcentral.
AGAGUUUGAUCCUGGCUCAGAACGACCGCUGGCGGCGUGGAUAAGACAUGCAAGUCGAACGAGAGAAUUGCUAGCUUGCUAAUAAUUCUCUAGUGGCGCACGGGUGAGUAACACGUGAGUAACCUGCCCCCGAGAGCGGGAUAGCCCUGGGAAACUGGGAUUAAUACCGCAUAGUAUCGAAAGAUUAAAGCAGCAAUGCGCUUGGGGAUGGGCUCGCGGCCUAUUAGUUAGUUGGUGAGGUAACGGCUCACCAAGGCGAUGACGGGUAGCCGGUCUGAGAGGAUGUCCGGCCACACUGGAACUGAGACACGGUCCAGACACCUACGGGUGGCAGCAGUCGAGAAUCAUUCACAAUGGGGGAAACCCUGAUGGUGCGACGCCGCGUGGGGGAAUGAAGGUCUUCGGAUUGUAAACCCCUGUCAUGUGGGAGCAAAUUAAAAAGAUAGUACCACAAGAGGAAGAGACGGCUAACUCUGUGCCAGCAGCCGCGGUAAUACAGAGGUCUCAAGCGUUGUUCGGAAUCACUGGGCGUAAAGCGUGCGUAGGCUGUUUCGUAAGUCGUGUGUGAAAGGCGCGGGCUCAACCCGCGGACGGCACAUGAUACUGCGAGACUAGAGUGAUGGAGGGGGAACCGGAAUUCUCGGUGUAGCAGUGAAAUGCGUAGAUAUCGAGAGGAACACUCGUGGCGAAGGCGGGUUCCUGGACAUUAACUGACGCUGAGGCACGAAGGCCAGGGGAGCGAAAGGGAUUAGAUACCCCUGUAGUCCUGGCAGUAAACGGUGCACGCUUGGUGUGCGGGGAAUCGACCCCCUGCGUGCCGGAGCUAACGCGUUAAGCGUGCCGCCUGGGGAGUACGGUCGCAAGAUUAAAACUCAAAGAAAUUGACGGGGACCCGCACAAGCGGUGGAGUAUGUGGCUUAAUUCGAUGCAACGCGAAGAACCUUACCUGGGCUUGACAUGUAAUGAACAACAUGUGAAAGCAUGCGACUCUUCGGAGGCGUUACACAGGUGCUGCAUGGCCGUCGUCAGCUCGUGUCGUGAGAUGUUUGGUUAAGUCCAGCAACGAGCGCAACCCCUGUUGCCAGUUACCAGCACGUGAAGGUGGGGACUCUGGCGAGACUGCCCAGAUCAACUGGGAGGAAGGUGGGGACGACGUCAGGUCAGUAUGGCCCUUAUGCCCAGGGCUGCACACGUACUACAAUGCCCAGUACAGAGGGGGCCGAAGCCGCGAGGCGAAGGAAAUCCUAAAAACUGGGCCCAGUUCGGACUGUAGGCUGCAACCCGCCUACACGAAGCCGGAAUCGCUAGUAAUGGCGCAUCAGCUACGGCGCCGUGAAUACGUUCCCGGGUCUUGCACACACCGCCCGUCA